GCCUGGGUGGCUCAGCGGGUUAAGCGUCUGACUCCGGCUCAGGUUAUGAUUUCGCAAUUUGUGGGUUCGAGCCCCACAUCGGGCU
This 85-nucleotide transfer RNA is filed under the name Felis catus (domestic cat). It matches the Rfam family "tRNA". Rfam says of the family: Transfer RNA (tRNA) molecules are approximately 80 nucleotides in length. Their secondary structure includes four short double-helical elements and three loops (D, anti-codon, and T loops). Further hydrogen bonds mediate the characteristic L-shaped molecular structure. tRNAs have two regions of fundamental functional importance: the anti-codon, which is responsible for specific mRNA codon recognition, and the 3' end, to which the tRNAs corresponding amino acid is attached (by aminoacyl-tRNA synthetases). tRNAs cope with the degeneracy of the genetic code in two manners: having more than one tRNA (with a specific anti-codon) for a particular amino acid; and 'wobble' base-pairing, i.e. permitting non-standard base-pairing at the 3rd anti-codon position. The record is from Rfam by way of RNAcentral. Lineage: Eukaryota; Metazoa; Chordata; Mammalia; Carnivora; Felidae.